Molecule: long non-coding RNA, 4627 nt
Organism: Columba livia (rock pigeon)
Lineage: Eukaryota; Metazoa; Chordata; Aves; Columbiformes; Columbidae
Exons: 4
Source: RefSeq, a predicted model, not a curated record
UUUACUUAUUUGCUUUUUCAUUAAGAAGUUUCAACAGCACACUAAUGAGGAGGUUUCUCUUAGUCAAAGAGGUUUGUUCUGGGUGUCCAUGUCCAGAUGCUGGGAGUGGGUGGCCUGCAGGGGUGGCCUCUGUGAGGAGAGGCCAGGGGCUGCCCCAUGCCAGACUGAGCCAGCCCCAACACACCCACCAUGGACAAUGCUGAACCCUUCAGCCUGGUGAUGCCUUGGGGAAAACGUAUUUAAGAAAGGGCAAAAUGUCACACAGCAGUGAGGAAAAACAACAAUGCUGUGAACAUCAAGGUCAGAGAAGAUGGAGAGGAGGAACUACUCCCAGAGCUGGAGCAGGACUAGGUGGAAGCAGAUGAAAACCAAUGGAACACUACAUACCUGCCUAGGAAAGGCCUUCAGGCUGUUCUUCACUGAACCAGCAUAUCCAAAAAGCCCAUGAGAUUUUUCAUCGCAUUUGCUUCCACUGUCCUACUGAGGAGGGAGAAUGAGUGAGCAGCUGGGUGGCACUGGGCUGCCAGACAGGGAUAACCUGCCACAACAGAAGAGCUUAGCUGGAACCAUGUGAGAUGACCUGAGUCAAUGAGAAAACAGCACAACAAUGCUAAGAUGUGCACUGAUUUGAUGUUCAGAUUGCUUUCCAUUUUCAUUGACAUUUCCUACAAGGUACACACAAGACCUUUUAGAAUAAAUUUUGGGUGAUUGAUUUGUUCUCCAUAUAUUUAUCAUCUUAGAUUUCCAAAUGCAUUCUUUGUUUUUUGUUUAAUUUUCGUUUUCGGGAGGACUAAUAGAUGAUAUAGGAUUCUAUUAAAAAUAGGCAAAGAAAAGGAAAAAAAAUAAAUAUAUUGGAGAUUCAUACAGGUGGUACUAAAAACCAAAAUGGAGUAAUCUUGAUUGUCUUGUCUUUUCUGAAUGCCCUUUACUAAGCACUGUCUACAUCUAUAUCUCAGUCACCAACCAUCAUCAAUAAAUCAUCAAAACUUGUCAGAAUAAUAGAAUCACAGAAUAUCUCAAGUUGGAAAAGACCCAUAAGGAUCAUCAAGUCCAACUCCCUGCUCCUUGCAGGACUACUUAACACUAAUCAGUAUGACUAAGAGCAUUAUCCAGACACUCCUUGAAGUCUGACAGGCUUGGUGCCAUGAUCACUUCCCUGGGGACUCCUUCACUAUGACCAACCACCCUCCUAGUGAAGAACCUUUUCCUAAUGUUCAAUCUGAACUUAACCUUGACGCAGCUUCCAUUUCCUCAUGUCCUAUAGCUGGUCACCAGAGAGAGGAAAUCAGCAUCUCCCCACUCCGUUUCAGGGUUGUCCUGCACAGGGACAGGAGUUGGACUCAAUGAUCCCUGUGGGUCCCUUCCAACUCAGGGCAUUCUAUGAUUCUAUGAUUGUCUCCCUUGAGAAAGUUGUAGACUGUGAUGAGGUCACCCCUCAGCCUUCCCUUCUCCAAGCUGAACAAGCCAAGUGACCUCGGGCACUCCUUGUAAGUCUUACCCUCAAAACCUUUCACCAACUUUCUCAUCUCCAGAUGCUCUCCUUUGGACACAGUGAAAUAGUUUGAUGUCCUCCUUGUAUUGAGAUGCCCAAAACUGCACACAGUAUGCUGUGGGACAAUCAUCUCCUUUAACCAACUGGGCUAUGCUGAAUGUGGUGCACCCCAGGACAUGGUUUGCCCUUUCAGCUGCCAGGGCACACUUUUGACUCAUAUUCAAAUUGCCAUCAGCACAAACCCCCAGAUGUCUUUCCACAGGACAAAUUGACUCAAUCCUGAACAACCUAGCCAUAAAGCACCAGGUUUAAAGCUGAUCUGAGGCACUGACUUAUGUCUUCCUCCCAGGUUCAGACAGCAGACAUCCCACUCACUUAAAAGCCAGUAGCUCGUAUGGAUACCAUCUCACCAAUUCUUCCUAACUUCUUCCAGCCAGAAAAGAGAAACAAAUCUGCCAGCUGCAGCCUGCUGUUUCCUCCAUCUGGGAAAGAGUGGCAGAAACAUGAUGGCUCAGUGCAGCCCUUUAACCUCAUGCAUGUGGGAGGGCACCUCAUAUGCAGCAGCAUUGGUGUGGGUUCAGAAAAAAGACCUUGGGGGCUUGGAAGACAGAAUUAUGUAGUUUCACAGGCCUACAUAUCUAUCUAUAAGAGUCUUCUCCAUGAUGUUUUCACACAGAGUUUGUUUUGUCACACAGCUUACUCAAUCAGGUUUGGGGCUAAAGGUUAUUUUCAUGUACCCUGAAGCAGUAAUGUUUUUAAACUAAAGGAGGGGAGAUUCAGGCUACACAUGAGAAAUAAUUUUUUUACAAUGAGGGUGGUGAAACACAGGUCCAGGUUGCCCAGAGAGGCGGUAGAUGCCUCAUCCCUGGAAACAUUCCAGGCCAGGCUGGACGGGGCUCUGAGCAACCUGAUCUAGUUGAAGAUGUUCCUGCUCAUUGCAGGGGGGUUGGACUAGAUGACCUUUGAAGGUCCCUUCCAACCCAAACUAUUCUAUGUUACAGUUAAAACAGGAGCUACCAAAUGACUAAUGAAACCUAAAAAAUGUUUAUAAAACAAAUAUAGAGCAAAAGAAAUUAGCAGCUUAAGUGAAAGAAGGAGCAAGAUCAAUUGAUUUCAGGGAUGUUUAAGAUUUUAACUUUAAUGUUUUUCAGUCCAUUACUAGACAAUUAUUAAUACGGUAGGUCUUCCAUUUAAUUGACAGGCACAAGAAAGAUUCAACACAUAUCGACCUAAUUUGUAAUUAAAUUCUGGAUUUAAAACAAAUCCACUUGAAACAAAGUAGAUGUUGCACAAAUCUCUUCACAGCAAUAAUGCAAAUAGAAGUGUUUAUACAAUGUAAAAUGCUAAUUUUGGGCACAGGCAAAGCAUCAUACAUGGCAAAAUUAAAUCCUUCAUAAUGAAAAACAUUCAUCCAAACUGGCUGUUUGCUUUGGGAAUAACUAGCAUUUCAAUCUCUCUUUCUAAAACAUAAUUUGUAUUGCCUAAAAUAUUUGGUAUACUUUUUCCAGCUAGUGAGCCCGAGAAAGAAUUCAGAUACUCAUUAUUCCUUAAGCAUUUUUUAUGAUUAAUGAUACCUAUACAGAAAUGCAGCUCCACAGAGCCAUUAAAAAAAUGUGUGGGCCUUCAUAAAAGAAAAAAAAAAAGUACCUGAAGAGGCAUUCAGACCAGGCAGGUAUGAAUUUUUGCACUAGAAACUCUAAUAAAAAUAAAGAAAAGUUUCCCUCACAUUUUUAAUUCCCUGAAAAACUGCAAAAUGGUACAAGAUACUGCCUUACAGAGGACAUUUCCCUGACUUUUCUGUUUCAUCUUUGAGCAUCAAAACUUGCAGUUAAAACAAAAAGGUAGACAAGAAAAAAGAAAAAAAGAAAAAAAAAAAAAGGCAGAAAUACACACACAGAUAAGACUCUACAGAUCAGAAUAUUAAGGAAUAAACUUUCACUAUUCUCCCAGAAAGGCUGCUACUUUGAUGUCAGAGCACCUGCUGUGAUGGAGGUCUUCUUUGAAAUGCUUAAGGUGAUGUGGUUUUAUAUAGCUCUGUAACAAGACCUUCUUGGAAAAUGAGAGACAUUGAAAGCUGCUGUUACGGGUAAUUCAGUAGGUGACCAGCUGAAUUGUACAUCCAGACACUUGUACUAAAAAGAAACCAGCCACAGGAGACAAAAGGGCCAAAUGGCUUCUUUUGGCAACAAUAUCAGCUGCCAAUGGCUUCCAAUACUGAAGGUAAAACUUACUUUCUUUGCACUGUUCAGCAAAAUAAAAGUGAUCCUGGUAGUCAGUACUGACUGCCCUAAUGGUAGAAGUAGGGUGUUAGGGUGUUAAACCGUUUUAACAACUUAACUAUUUUUUCUAAUUAGUCAUUAGACUAUUCUCUAGCAAAAAUAAAAGACUUGGAGAACUAUCUUCAAAGCUAAGCAAAGCCCACGGUUCAUUGAGCAUUUCACAAGAGUAGUCAGGUGCUUAAGUAUGGCCUUUGUCGAACCAGGGCCUUACUGUAAGUCAAUCAGUUAUGCACAAAGACAAGCAUAUUUUCAAGACCACUCCUUAAAAUACCACUGAAUAAAAGACAUUCAUUGAUGAAAAUAAAGAAAAAAAUCUUGUGGUAUGGCAGAACACAAAAGAAAGGUACCACACUACAGAAGUAUGGGGGGCAGGAAAGGGGAGUGGUAUUCACGAAAGAAAGCUUUUGGAUCAACUACGUGUAAGACAAAUUCAAAAUCUACAAAUAAUAGUUUAAGAAAUUUAAUCGUGGAUACAGGAUCAUUACAAUUAGCUGCACCUAACAUCUGAGGGUCUUCUAAAUGAAGAUACUAAAUAAUAAAUGUGCUAUUAGAUUAUUUUAUACAGACAGUGCCUUUUAUUUGCAUAUAUCAAAUACUUUCAGACUUUUAUUUAGUUUCACAAUAAAGCAAGGAGUAAGGCUGGCAUUUAUGAGCAAGACUGAUAUUCCGUGAGUGUGUAAGGUAAAUAUAUGAGGUAAUUAGGUUUUGCGUAGUCCAAACUUGAAUUAAAAAAAUUUAAAGGACAUGGUCCCGAGAAAUAAUAUUUUAAUUUUCUGAGUAAUUUCUUCUUCAGUGGCUACAUAGGAUUAGUAAAAUGUGUUACUAUUAAUUAUUGUAAUAUUUAUGUUUGCUAAUU